AUUGAACGCUGGCGGCAGGCCUAACACAUGCAAGUCGAGCGGAUGAAGGGAGCUUGCUCCUGGAUUCAGCGGCGGACGGGUGAGUAAUGCCUAGGAAUCUGCCUGGUAGUGGGGAUAACGUCCGGAAACGGGCGCUAAUACCGCAUACGUUCUGAGGGAGAAAGUGGGGGAUCUUCGGACCUCACGCUAUCAGAUGAGCCUAGGUCGGAUUAGCUAGUUGGUGGGGUAAAGGCCUACCAAGGCGACGAUCCGUAACUGGUCUGAGAGGAUGAUCAGUCACACUGGAACUGAGACACGGUCCAGACUCCUACGGGAGGCAGCAGUGGGGAAUAUUGGACAAUGGGCGAAAGCCUGAUCCAGCCAUGCCGCGUGUGUGAAGAAGGUCUUCGGAUUGUAAAGCACUUUAAGUUGGGAGGAAGGGCAGUAAGUUAAUACCUUGCUGUUUUGACGUUACCAACAGAAUAAGCACCGGCUAACUUCGUG
Molecule: ribosomal RNA, 483 nt
Filed under: uncultured bacterium
Lineage: Bacteria
Description: partial 16S ribosomal RNA
Rfam family: Bacterial small subunit ribosomal RNA
Source: RNAcentral